CAGAUGUGAAAGCCCGGGGCUCAACCUCGGAACCGCAUUUGAAACUGGCAGGCUAGAGUCUUGUAGAGGGGGGUAGAAUUUCAGGUGUAGCGGUGAAAUGCGUAGAGAUCUGAAGGAAUACCAGUGGCGAAGGCGGCCCCCUGGACAAAGACUGACGCUCAGAUGCGAAAGCGUGGGUAGCAAACAGGAUUAGAUAACCUGGUAGUCCACGCCGUAAACGCUGUCUACUUGGAGGUUGAGGUUUAAGACUUUGGCUUUCGGCGCUAACGCAUUAAGUAGACCGCCUGGGGAGUACGGCCGCAAGGUUAAAACUCAAAUGAAUUGACGGGGGCCCGCACAAGCGGUGGAGCAUGUGGUUUAAUUCGAUGCAACGCGAAGAACCUUACCUACUCUUGACAUCCAGAGAACUUUCCAGAGAUGGAUUGGUGCCUUCGGGAACUCUGGGACAGGUGCUGCAUGGCUGUCGUCAGCUCGUGUUGUGAAAUGUUGGGUUAAGUCCCGCAACGAGCGCAACCCUUAUCCUUGUUUGCCAGCACGUAAAGGUGGGAACUCCAGGGAGACUGCCGGUGAUAAACCGGAGGAAGGUGGGGACGACGUCAAGUCAUCAUGGCCCUUACGAGUAGGGCUACACACGUGCUACAAUGGCAGAUACAGAGGGCAGCGAAGCUGCGAAGUGGAGCGAAUCCCUUAAAGUCUGUCGUAGUCCGGAUUGGAGUCUGCA
RNAcentral lists this ribosomal RNA (721 nucleotides) under uncultured Salinivibrio sp. RNAcentral describes it as "bacterial SSU rRNA". It matches the Rfam family "Bacterial small subunit ribosomal RNA", at positions 589 to 1309 of the family's 1533-position model. The record is from RNAcentral. Lineage: Bacteria; Pseudomonadati; Pseudomonadota; Gammaproteobacteria; Vibrionales; Vibrionaceae.